Molecule: ribosomal RNA, 120 nt
Filed under: Leptotrombidium deliense
Lineage: Eukaryota; Metazoa; Arthropoda; Arachnida; Trombidiformes; Trombiculidae
Source: RNAcentral
GUCUACGGCCAUACCACAUUGACAAUACCACCUCUUGUCGGAUCCUUGAAGUUAAAUUAUGUUGGUGCCUAGUCAGUACCAGGCAGGUAGACCACCUGAGAACACACAGUGACGCAGACU